CGCUGGCGGCGUGCCUAACACAUGCAAGUCGAGCGAGGAGAUUCCUUCGGGAUGAUCCUAGCGGCGGACGGGUGAGUAACACGUGGGCAACCUGCCUCAUAGAGAGGAAUAGCCUUCCGAAAGGGAGAUUAAUACCUCAUAACAUUGCAGUUUCGCAUGGAACAGCAAUUAAAGGAGCAAUCCACUAUGAGAUGGGCCCGCGGCGCAUUAGCUAGUUGGUGAGGUAACGGCUCACCAAGGCGACGAUGCGUAGCCGACCUGAGAGGGUGAUCGGCCACAUUGGGACUGAGACACGGCCCAGACUCCUACGGGAGGCAGCAGUGGGGAAUAUUGCACAAUGGGGGAAACCCUGAUGCAAGCAACGCCGCGUGAGUGAUGACGGCCUUCGGGUUGUAAAGCUCUGUCUUCAGGGACGAUAAUGACGGUACCUGAGGAGGAAGCCACGGCUAACUACGUGCCAGCAGCCGC
This 468-nucleotide ribosomal RNA is filed under the name uncultured bacterium. Its description in RNAcentral is "bacterial SSU rRNA". It matches the Rfam family "Bacterial small subunit ribosomal RNA", at positions 34 to 518 of the family's 1533-position model. The record is from RNAcentral.